RNA transcript from Prunus persica (peach), 1742 nucleotides. It is a transcript of the gene named INO80 complex subunit D, with no coding region annotated. Lineage: Eukaryota; Viridiplantae; Streptophyta; Magnoliopsida; Rosales; Rosaceae. The transcript is spliced from 3 exons. The record is from RefSeq and is a predicted model, not a curated record.
UUACAAAAUUGUUUCUGACAAUCACAAUACACGCAUAGCCUAACAACUCUCGACCUCACGCGCGCGCUCUCUCUCUCUCUCUCUCUCCCCUCCCUCCUCCCAUGGCUGCCUCUGGUUCGAAGCCCCAUCCUCCCUCUAGUUCCAAACCUCCCAAAAACCCCAUAACCCUCAAACCCACAAAUGAAACCCAAACUCCAAACCCUAACCCUUCCACCUCCAACAUCCCUCCUGUCCCACCCUCCCAAGAAGAAAUCGCUCUCUCAGGCGCCUCCCAGCUCACGCGCCUGGAGGUCCUCCGCCGCCGUUCCUACUUCUUAAGGCAGCUCAGAAAAUUCUACCAAUCCAAAUACUGGGCCUUCAUGGAGGAGGUCAAGAAGAAGCACAGGGAGUUCUACUGGAACUUCGGUGUGAGCCCUUUCAAAGAUGAGCACAAGAGCGAUAGAGACGCUACUGGGAAUGCUGAAGGCACUGAUGAGAACAAUAACAACAUCAACAGCAAUUUCAACAACAAUAAUGGUGGUGCUGCGAUUGCUCGGACCGACGUCGAUGCGAAAAAGAAACUGCAAUGCUCUUAUCAUCAGUGUAAGACGAAGGCCAUGCCGUUGACGAGCUUUUGUCACCUCCAUAUUCUAUCGGAUUCGAAGCAGAAGCUCUAUAAGCCUUGUGGGUUUGUUAUCAAGAGUGCUCAUACAGGACCUCUAACCUGUGGGAAGCCAAUACUGAGAUCCACUGUUCCUUCUCUUUGUACUCAUCACUUCCAAGUGGCUCAGAAGGCUAUCAAAAAGGCCUUGAAGAAGGCAGGCCUUAAUGGGCCAUCAACAAAUAAGCUUGCUCCAAAGUUCCAUGUCAUAGUAGCAGAAUAUGUACGCCAAAUUCAGGCCAAACGAAGAGCUGCACAAAGGGCAAAGGGAAAGAAAGUCGCAAUUAAGGAAGAAACCUCUGACUGAACCUCUCCACUGGCAGCUGCAUAAAUGAUUCAUCGAGUAUUGUUGAUUGUGUGAAAUGAGGGAAAACCAGAGGUAUAGAUUACGGAUUUUAAUGUGGAACAGGUAUAAUUCAUUAUGUAUCACUAAGCAUGGGCGAAGUCAGGAGUUAUAAUAAUUUUAAUAGGUGGUAUUUGGUUGUUGGAAUGGAGCCUAUUUGGGUUUGGAAACAGAAGAGGAUACGGGUAGCUGCCGGAUUGAACUUGUAGGUCGAACUGGCCAAUUAAAGGACCCGGGCUGACCCGACUCAUUUAAAUUGGACAAAUUCAUGCGUCGUUUCAAAAUGCAGCCUAUUUGUUCUCAUAAACGGACCAGGGCUACAAGGCUAUGUAUUUUUUGCUUUUGUAGAAAAUUAUUUUUUAGAAAUUUUUUUUCUUUCUAAGAAUUAGAUUUUAUUUAUUUAUUUUUUCUACUUGAAAAUUUGAAUUUGCUUGUUGAGCAUAUAUUACUGUUUGGGUAUGUGGUCAUGGUCAAUUGAGGCUCAUUUUAUCUAGUCCAAUCAGAACAAAGGUUAAGAUCUAAUCCAAUUGACAUUAAAUUGGACGGUUGUUCUUAGUAAGGGAAAAAAAAAAUUUGAAAUACGAGAUACUUACUUUUCAAUCUAAUCCAUUCGUUGGAAUGUUGUUCUUAUGAGUAACUGUUUUUAACCACUUAGCUACAGUCCUCUUGCCUUUAAAGUGGGAGAAACGUUGACAUUUUAUUUUCAUUUCAAAUUUUUAGUUUAACAAGUCAGUUUACUAUUUUAUUCUUGGUUAAUAA